Molecule: ribosomal RNA, 336 nt
Filed under: Triticum aestivum (bread wheat)
Lineage: Eukaryota; Viridiplantae; Streptophyta; Magnoliopsida; Poales; Poaceae
Description: partial small subunit ribosomal RNA
Source: RNAcentral
AUGAAUUGGCCAAGUUGGAACUGUCGGGGGGCGGGGAAUCCCUCGACAAUUCGUGACCUCGCGUCUCUUGUUAGGAUGCAUUCCCCAAGUCUUGUUUUCUUGUGUGAGACUAGGCAAAAUAAAAAUAAGAUGUAUCGUUUGCGUAAUAGGUUAGGGCUUUCUGGUUUUGAAGGAGUCAGUAGUAAUGGCCGUAGUAGUGGCCUAGCACUGUUCUGGCAUGAGUCUAUGUAUAUCGAUGUGCAAGAAGCAAAUGAAAGAUUGAUUGACAUGUAUUUGUGUAUGUCCCCGAACAAGCCACUAUGGAGAGCUCCAUUGUUUAUGGCGAACCGAGAGUAG